RNAcentral lists this long non-coding RNA (504 nucleotides) under Anas platyrhynchos platyrhynchos (common mallard). RNAcentral's name for it is "lncRNA (ENSAPLG00000021359.1)". The record is from RNAcentral. Lineage: Eukaryota; Metazoa; Chordata; Aves; Anseriformes; Anatidae.
AUGAGGGGAGCGGGGCGAAGCUGGGGGGACAGCGGGAGCCUCGGCGGGCGGCAGAGGGCGCCCCGAAUUCCGCCAGAGAGGGGCCGGGAGGAGCCUCCGGCUCGGCUCGGCCGAGGAGGGAGGGAGGAAAGGAGGAGAAGGAGGAGGAGGAGGAGGAGGAGGGAGCUGCCACGUCCUCUGCGCCGAGCGGCGCCAGCCCCGCGCCUCACUCAGCCCCACGUGUGGCGGAGCGGGGGAAGUUGCGGCGGGGAGCCCGGACUCUGCCCCUCGCUGGCCGCCUGUCCCUGCUCUCAGGAGGGCGCAGCUCCGAGAACUGACACGUGCUAUUUGGAAGUGCCCUCACAUUAAAUUUGGGGGCCUCUGAAUCUGCCUUUGGCUCUGCAGCUCUCGUACCGAGGCAGCGCAGCUUUUACCUUGAGGACCAGCCCGUGUGGAGCAGCUGGCAGAGACAGUCCAGCAUGUAUCUAGUCAGCCCUGGAACCUUACGUAAGCUGUUCUCCAUCC